ACUCGACCACACGAAGCUGGAAUCGCUAGUAAUCGCGAAUCAGCAUGUCGCGGUGAAUACGUUCCCGGGUCUUGUACACACCGCCCGUCACACCAUGGGAGGUCAGCAACGCCCGAAGUCAGUGACCCAACCUUUAAGGAGGGAGCUGCCGAAGGCGGGGCAGGUGACUGGAGUGAAGUCGUAACAAGGUAAC
RNAcentral lists this ribosomal RNA (193 nucleotides) under uncultured bacterium. RNAcentral's name for it is "partial 16S ribosomal RNA". It matches the Rfam family "Bacterial small subunit ribosomal RNA", at positions 1310 to 1500 of the family's 1533-position model. The record is from RNAcentral.